RNAcentral lists this ribosomal RNA (253 nucleotides) under uncultured bacterium. RNAcentral's name for it is "partial 16S ribosomal RNA". It matches the Rfam family "Bacterial small subunit ribosomal RNA", at positions 524 to 776 of the family's 1533-position model. The record is from RNAcentral.
UACGUAGGUGACAAGCGUUGUCCGGAUUUACUGGGCGUAAAGAGCGCGCAGGCGGUCGAUCAAGUCGAGUGUGAAAGCCCCCGGCUCAACUGGGGAGGGUCAUUCGAUACUGAUCGACUCGAAGGCAGGAGAGGGUAGUGGAAUUCCCGGUGUAGUGGUGAAAUGCGUAGAUAUCGGGAGGAACACCAGUGGCGAAGGCGACUACCUGGCCUGUUCUUGACGCUGAGGAGCGAAAGCAUGGGGAGCGAACAGG